This 446-nucleotide ribosomal RNA is filed under the name uncultured bacterium. RNAcentral's name for it is "bacterial SSU rRNA". It matches the Rfam family "Bacterial small subunit ribosomal RNA", at positions 328 to 792 of the family's 1533-position model. The record is from RNAcentral.
CUUCCAGACUCCUACGGGAGGCAGCAGUGGGGAAUAUUGCACAAUGGGGGAAACCCUGAUGCAGCGACGCCGCGUGGGUGAAGAAGUAAUUCGUUAUGUAAAGCUCUAUCAGCAGGGAAGAAAAUGACGGUACCUGAGUAAGAAGCCCCGGCUAACUACGUGCCAGCAGCCGCGGUAAUACGGAGGAUGCGAGCGUUAUCCGGAUUUAUUGGGUUUAAAGGGUGCGCAGGCGGAGGCACAAGUCAGCGGUAAAAUCGCGGGGCUCACCCCCGCUCCGCCGUUGAAACUGUGUCCCUUGAGUGCGCGAAGGGUAGGCGGAAUGCGUGGUGUAGCGGUGAAAUGCAUAGAUGUCACGCAGAACUCCGAUCGCGAAGGCAGCCUACCGGCGCGCAACUGACGCUCAUGCACGAAAGCGUGGGUAUCGAACAGGAUUAGAUACCCUUGUA